AUUGAACGCUGGCGGAAUGCUUUACACAUGCAAGUCGAACGGCAGCACGGACUUCGGUCUGGUGGCGAGUGGCGAACGGGUGAGUAAUGUAUCGGAACGUGCCCAGUCGUGGGGGAUAACGUAGUGAAAAUUACGCUAAUACCGCAUACGAUCUAUGGAUGAAAGCGGGGGAUCGCAAGACCUCGCGCGAUUGGAGCGGCCGAUAACAGAUUAGGUAGUUGGGGGGGUAAAGGCCCACCAAGCCAACGAUCUGUAGCUGGUCUGAGAGGACGACCAGCCACACUGGAACUGAGACACGGUCCAGACUCCUACGGGAGGCAGCAGUGGGGAAUUUUGGACAAUGGGCGAAAGCCUGAUCCAGCCAUUCCGCGUGCAGGAUGAAGGCCCUCGGGUUGUAAACUGCUUUUGUACAGAACGAAAAGGUCUCUACUAAUACUAGGAGCUCAUGACGGUACUGUAAGAAUAAGCACCGGCUAACUACGUGCCAGCAGCCGCCGUAA
This 500-nucleotide ribosomal RNA is filed under the name uncultured bacterium. Its description in RNAcentral is "partial 16S ribosomal RNA". It matches the Rfam family "Bacterial small subunit ribosomal RNA", at positions 30 to 523 of the family's 1533-position model. The record is from RNAcentral.